Molecule: non-coding RNA, 72 nt
Organism: Phrynosoma platyrhinos (Desert horned lizard)
Lineage: Eukaryota; Metazoa; Chordata; Lepidosauria; Squamata; Phrynosomatidae
Source: the annotation of a GenBank genome assembly
GACAGUGUGAUGUUGUGGUUUUAAUGUCAGGCUAUGAUUCUGCAGACCAGGGUUCGAAUCUCGGCUCUGCCA